GAGAGGUAGACGGUACUCAGUAGGAAGGGGUAAAAUCCUUUGAUCUAUUGAUGACCACCUGUGGCGAAGGCGGUCUACCAGAACACGUUCGACGGUGAGGGAUGAAAGCUGGGGGAGCAAACCGGAUUAGAUACCCGGGUAGUCCCAGCUGUAAACGAUGCAGACUCGAUGAUGCAUUGGCAUAUAGCCAGUGCAGUGUCGCAGGGAAGCCGUUAAGUCUGCCGCCUGGGAAGUACGUACGCAAGUAUGAAACUUAAAGGAAUUGGCGGGGGAGCACCACAAGGGGUGAAGCCUGCGGUUCAAUUGGAGUCAACGCCAGAAAUCUUACCCGGAGAGACAGCAGAAUGAAGGUCAAGCUGAAGACUUUACCAGACAAGCUGAGAGGUGGUGCAUGGCCGUCGCCAGCUCGUGCCGUGAGAUGUCCUGUUAAGUCAGGUAACGAGCGAGAUCCUCGCCACUAGUUGCUAUCAUUAUUCUCAGGAAUAGUGGGGCGAAUUAGUGGGACUGCCGUUGUUAAAACGGAGGAAGGAGGGGGCUACGGCAGGUCAGUAUGCCCCGAAACUCUGGGGCCACACGCGGGCUGCAAUGGUAGCGACAAUGAGCUCCAAACUCGAAAGAGAGUGGCAAUCUCUAAACGCUACCACAGUUAUGACUGAGGGCUGUAACUCGCCCUCACGAAUAUGGAAUCCCUAGUAACCGCGUGUCAUUACCGCGCGGUGAAUACGUCCCUGCUCCUUGCACACACCGCCCGUCGUUUCAUCGAAGUUUGCUUUUAGCGAGGUGAUGUUUAAUUGACAUUAUCGAACUUGAGGUAAGUGACGAGGGAAAAGUCGUAACAAGGUGACCGUAGGGGAACCUGCGGUCG
RNAcentral lists this ribosomal RNA (865 nucleotides) under marine metagenome. Its description in RNAcentral is "bacterial SSU rRNA". It matches the Rfam family "Archaeal small subunit ribosomal RNA", at positions 603 to 1467 of the family's 1478-position model. The record is from RNAcentral.